GGUGAAUUGAUUUCGAUCAAAAAAGGAAAUAAAACAGUGGCCUGUGUAACCUCAAACUUCGAAUCAGCCGUGGCUUUUGUAAAAGAGCCAGAAAACGAUACAGAAUUUACCAAAGUGAAGUACGUGUACGGAAAAGAACAGUUUUUUCCGCUAAGCCAACACGACUGCAACUUCAGCUUCGAAAAAAAUUGCUCGCAGUGGAAUCUGAUGAUGAAUAAAUGGACUCAUACAAAACCUGAACUGGGUUCUCUAAUCACCGAUUACCGCUGGAAUGAUAUGAAAACUUAUUUUGUACAAAACAGUGGGCUGAAAUCUCCGUUGGAAUACCCAAUAGGACGGAACGAAGGCUCAUUCCACUUCUCCCUUCUCGCUGAGGAAAAUGCUGAGAUUUGGAUCUCGAAUAACGAUAAUUUUAGCACAGGAAAUCGAGUGGUUUUCAGUAGAAAUUCAAUUUCCAUCCUCUCCAGGAAGAAUAAUAUUGGUACUUGGGAGA
This is a long non-coding RNA of Cloeon dipterum, 493 nucleotides long. RefSeq lists it as uncharacterized. NCBI's taxonomy places the organism in Eukaryota, Metazoa, Arthropoda, Insecta, Ephemeroptera, Baetidae. The record is from RefSeq and is a predicted model, not a curated record. The transcript is spliced from 3 exons.